CCUGAUGAGCCGAGCCGGUGCGGAAACGCGGAGUCAGUGGCUGCCCGAGUCCGACGGAUUUCCUGCCACAUUUUGUGAAUGAUCGAAUAUCGCCAUGUCCCCGUUAGAAGCUAUGGUAAAGAAUCGAUAGUGCGAUAAUCGAGCGAUCGCAUUCGAUACGAUAUUCGAUAUUCGUCCUCCUCAGCUGUAGGAUUCAAGAUGGCGGUCAUGCAUGCACUUUCCCUCGUAAUCACGGCCGGUAUCGGUUCCCAAAUUCCGCUUCGCUCAAUUAAUUUUAAUUUAUUGAAUUAUUAGCCGUCAAAACUGUCAUUUUCCUUGCUCAUCUAGAAGUAUUUCAUCAAUUCGAGACGAAGAUUAAACCUCAGGGCCAACGAAAAUCAAGAAGAAGCCAUAGGAAGUGCGGAGAAACCGAAGUUCCGAGUGGAUCUUAACAGAUUUAAAAACAUAUCAAAAUGGCGCCAGAGGCACUGGAUAUCUCUGAGCAUGAGUUGCUCUUCAAAGCAACCAAUUUAUCCAAACUGGCGUCCAUAUAGAUUUGUCUCAGUACCUGCAGGCAUACAUGAGGAAUAUUAGAAACCUCUACAAUAACUCCUCAGCAGUAUAAAAAAUGAAUUUUGCUGAAGCUGCGAUGUUGAUUCAAAACUCAUCGAUUAUCUUUGCCAAGAAUGUCAACUCAAUUUGGGCAAGAGCUGUAAACACACGGCUUGCUUUAUCUGUCAACAUAGACCGAAAAAAAAAUAACGAUGAUAAAGACGAUGAGGAUUGUGAUGUUGGAACUGGCGAUGAAGGUGCUGAUAAUCAAAAAGAAAAAGCUAAGAAGAAGAAAAAGAGAAUGUUUAAUGUUGAAGAAUUUAAACUCCUUCCUUUUCUCAGUACUGGUGAGUGUGAAAUUGUAGAACAUGUAAUCCUUUAACCAAAAUUUAGAAAUACAUCUUGAAACUACCUUGAUUUAAGAUCACUAACAAAGAAAAUUUCUCAAGGUGUAUCA
RNAcentral lists this long non-coding RNA (988 nucleotides) under Bemisia tabaci. Its description in RNAcentral is "lncRNA ENSASIAIIG010182". The record is from RNAcentral. Lineage: Eukaryota; Metazoa; Arthropoda; Insecta; Hemiptera; Aleyrodidae.